Molecule: ribosomal RNA, 450 nt
Filed under: uncultured bacterium
Lineage: Bacteria
Description: partial 16S ribosomal RNA
Rfam family: Bacterial small subunit ribosomal RNA
Source: RNAcentral
GUGGGGAAUCUUCCGCAAUGGACGAAAGUCUGACGGAGCAACGCCGCGUGAGUGAUGAAGGUCUUCGGAUUGUAAAGCUCUGUUAAUCGGGACGAAAGAGCCUAGUGUGAAUAAUGCUAGGAAGUGACGGUACCGGAAUAGAAAGCCACGGCUAACUACGUGUCAGCAGCCGCGGUAAUACGUAGGUGGCAAGCGUUGUCCGGAAUUAUUGGGCGUAAAGCGCGCGCAGGCGGAUCUGCCAGUCUGUCUUAAAAGUUCGGGGCUUAACCCCGUGAUGGGAUGGAAACUACAGAUCUAGAGUAUCGGAGAGGAAAGUGGAAUUCCUAGUGUAGCGGUGAAAUGCGUAGAUAUUAGGAGGAACACCAGUGGCGAAAGCGGCUUUCUGGACGACAACUGACGCUGAGGCGCGAAAGCCAGGGGAGCAAACGGGAUUAGAAACCCUUGUAGUCC